AAGUCGUAACAAGGUUUCCGUAGGUGAACCUGCGGAAGGAUCAUUAACACGUAUCCAAACCCCCCCGUGAACAUUGAUUCCUGCUCUUGUAAAUCAUAGCCCGGAAAGUAGUUUUGAUUCAGAGACCUCUGGCCCGUGCGAAAAUUGGAAAAGUUACACAAUUCGAGCGGUAGUUCUAUAGGCCUUGUUUCCCCAAGCAGUCAGUGUCUGAAAGUGUCAGUGAUUGUGCAAGGAUAACGCUUCACGAUUCUUGUAGACCGCAUCUCGCGGGCAGGAGCUAGGCCAAAGGGUCCCCAUGCCCCCUUACAACCCCACAGUUAAAUGUGAAGCUCAAUGUAAUACAUUGGGUAAAAAACCGAACAACUGUUAACAAUGGAUAUCUUGGUUCUC
RNAcentral lists this unclassified non-coding RNA (390 nucleotides) under fungal sp. RNAcentral's name for it is "partial internal transcribed spacer region". The stretch from base 1 to 46 matches the Rfam family "Eukaryotic small subunit ribosomal RNA", at positions 1786 to 1831 of the family's 1831-position model. The record is from RNAcentral. Lineage: Eukaryota; Fungi.